This 477-nucleotide ribosomal RNA is filed under the name uncultured bacterium. RNAcentral describes it as "partial 16S ribosomal RNA". It matches the Rfam family "Bacterial small subunit ribosomal RNA", at positions 28 to 507 of the family's 1533-position model. The record is from RNAcentral.
GAUGAACGCUGGCGGCGUGCUUAACACAUGCAAGUCGAACGGGAAACCUUUUAUUGACGCUUCGGCAGAUUUAGCUGGUUUCUAGUGGCGGACGGGUGAGUAACGCGUGGGUAACCUGCCUUAUACAGGGGAUUACAACCAAAAAUGGUUUGUAAUUCCGGCUACACGGACCGGGCCGGAAUGUUCCGGUGGGAAAACUCCGGUGGGAUAAGAUGGACCCGCGUUGGAUUAGCUUGGUGGCAGGGUAAAGGCCUACCAAGGCGGCGAUGCAUAGCCGGCCUGAGAGGGGGAACGGCCACAUUGGGACUGAGACACGGCCCAGACUCCUACGGGAGGCAGCAGUGGGGAAUAUUGCACAAUGGGGGAAACCCUGAUGCAGCGACGCCGCGUGAAGGAAGAAGUAUCUCGGUAUGUAAACUUCUAUCAGCAGGGAAGAUAGUGACGGUACCUGACUAAGAAGCCCCGGCUAACUACGUG